UCGGGAUAGCUCAGUUGG
This 18-nucleotide transfer RNA is filed under the name Blandfordia nobilis. Its description in RNAcentral is "partial tRNA-Phe". Lineage: Eukaryota; Viridiplantae; Streptophyta; Magnoliopsida; Asparagales; Blandfordiaceae. RNAcentral also lists the same sequence under 2 other names. The record is from RNAcentral.